This 67-nucleotide transfer RNA is filed under the name Eupteryx gracilirama. RNAcentral describes it as "tRNA-Trp". The record is from RNAcentral. Lineage: Eukaryota; Metazoa; Arthropoda; Insecta; Hemiptera; Cicadellidae.
AAGACUUUAAGUUAAAUAAACUAUUAACCUUCAAAGUUAAAAAUAUAAUUUUGAAAUAUAAGCCUUA